RNAcentral lists this long non-coding RNA (487 nucleotides) under Marmota monax (woodchuck). The record is from RNAcentral. Lineage: Eukaryota; Metazoa; Chordata; Mammalia; Rodentia; Sciuridae.
GCUAUGUUGAAUAGGAGUAGUGAAAGAGGGCCUCUCUGAUUCGUUCCAGUUUUGGACAGAGAAUGUUUUCAGUUUUUCUUCAUUUAUUUCAGUGUCCAUGAUCAUAAUUCCAUUCUCAUCAGGAUUUAAUAAUUUGGGCUUUUCUCUUUUUCUUUGUUAGCUUGGCUAAAGUCUUAUCAAUAUUGUUUAUUUUUUCAAAAACCUAACUUUUUUUUCUUUGAGUUUUUUAUUUUUAUUUUUUGGUUUCACUUUUAUUAUAUUUGGCUCUGAUUUUUAUUGUUUUGCAUCUUCUACUGCUUUUGGUGCUUGUUUGUUUUUCUCUUUCUAGGGUUUUGAGAUGUAAAGUUAGAUUUUUUUUGGUGAUUUUCUGUUCUUUUAAUAAAUGAGCUCAAUGCAAUGAACUUUCCUCUUAGAACUGCCUUCAUAGAAUCUCAUGGAUUUUGGUAUGUUGGUUUACUAUUCUCAUUUACCUCUAAAUAUUUUUUUU